AUACGUAGGAUGCAAGCGUUAUCCGGAUUUAUUGGGUUUAAAGGGUGCGUAGGCGGUUUGCUAAGCGGGAGGUGAAAUGCCGGCGCUCAACGUCGGAAGUGCCUCCCGAACUGGUGGACUGGAAUGACUCUGCCGUGGGAGGAAUGUGUAGUGUAGCGGUGAAAUGCUUAGAGAUUACACAGAACACCGAUUGCGAAGGCAUCUCACGAAGGGUUGAUUGACGCUGAGGCACGAAAGCGUGGGGAUCAAACAGGAUUAGAUACCCUGGUAGUCCACGCAGUAAACGAUGAUGGCUAACCGCUGGUUUAUUCGGAUCAGUGGCCAAGCGAAAGCGAUAAGCCAUCCACCUGGGGAGUACGACCGCAAGGUUGAAACUCAAAGGAAUUGACGGGG
RNAcentral lists this ribosomal RNA (393 nucleotides) under uncultured bacterium. RNAcentral's name for it is "partial 16S ribosomal RNA". It matches the Rfam family "Bacterial small subunit ribosomal RNA", at positions 523 to 918 of the family's 1533-position model. The record is from RNAcentral.